AGAAGGAUCACUAACGCGAUCAACGACUAAGUUGUGCGACGACGUCGUAGCAGUAGAGAACUGUGAGGCGUCCGCCGCAAUUUUACGUCCAGCCUUCGGCUAGAUGUGUGAAACCCAACGGCUAACUUGGGUCUCUAGGUCGGAGCGAGCAGUUGUCCUCAGUCCGUGGCUGCAACGACUCUCCGACGACAGAUUCGCUUUUGAGAGCUCGAGUCGAGACUUAAUGACCCGAUGAGGCGCCCAAGAACCAAUCAUUUUUUGAAAUUUUUUUAAGUCAGCAAUUUUCAAGCUAUAUCGGUGGAUCACUUGGCUCGUGGAUCGAGGAAGAACGCAGUGAAUUGCGUUAAGAAUCACGAAUUACAGAUAUUAUGAGUGACAUGUUUUCGAUUGCAUAUUGCACUAUUAGGCACUUGUCUAUUAGUAUAUUCGACUCAGGGUGUUAAUCACAAAAGAUAGAUUGAAAUAAUUUUUAUUGGGCGUCGUUGCAGAAAUUCGUUUUUGGAUGUUGCCCACUCAGCACACGCUAACAGUGUUGUUGUUUGAGUUGUGUAGUUGUUGUAAGUGUUUUCUCGGUUUUUCAAUAAUCACUUGUUAGAUCUUGAAAGCUCUCACGACAACGUUUUACACCACCAAAUUCAUUUUUGGCUUGAUCACCUGAGUUGCGUAUGACUACCUGCCGAACUUAAGCAUAUCAGUAAGCAGAGGAAAAGAAACCAACUGGGAUUUCCCGAGUAACUGCGAGUGAAAAGGGAGGAGCUCAGCGCUAAAAGCGAAACUCACACGAUUUUCGCUGGUGUAGCGUUUGGAGCGUCCAAUCGACGGCGUCGGGGCGGUCUAAGUUUCGCUGGAACGCGGCCGCACAGAUGGUUUUACGCCAGUCUGGCCACCCGGCGUCGGCGAGUCGACGUCUCCGGGAGUCGGGUUGUUUGGAAACGCAGCCCAAAGCGGGUGGUAAACUUCACCUAAAGCUAAAUAGCGCCACGAGACCGAUAGCAAACAAGUACUGUGAAGGAAAGUUGAAAAGCACUUUGAAAAGAGAGUGCAAGAGAACGUGAAACCGUUAUAGUGGAAGCGGAUGGAGCCGACGUAUCCGGUGCGUAUUCAGCCAUUGGCUGUAAUGAAUGGCGGGUGUGGAUUCUGCAAAGUUCCUCUCCUGUUACACUCAUUCUGGUCGUUGGUGCAUUUGCGUACAGAGUGCGCCGAAUCGGCCGGGCCUCGCCGUUCGAGGCGGGCGAAGAGGACUUGCGUUCGCGUAAGAAACCUGCGCUCGCGGACGACGGACGAGCCUGGUCGUCGAGGGGUGGGUGAAUUCGCGGUUCGGCCGCUCCGCUCCCAUUCGGUGUCCCGUCGGUCACCCAUUUGACCCGUCUUGAAACACGGACCAAGGAGUUUAAGGUGUACGCGAGUCAUUGAGUGCCAAACUCAUAGGCGCAAUGAAAGUGGGACACUCGGUGUCUGCGAUGUGAGGCGGCCGGCGUUUCGACGUCGCCACCGCAACAUCGACCCAUGACUGGAAUUUAUUCUGUCGUGGAGUCCGAGCGUACGCCCUGAGACCCGAAAGAUGGUGAACUAUGCCGAACAGGACGAAGUCAGAGGAAACUCUGAUGGAAGUCCGAAGCGGUUCUGACGUGCAAAUCGAUCGUCUGAUUUGGGUAUAGGGCGCAAGACUAAUCGAACCAUCUAGUAGCUGGUUCCUUC
Molecule: unclassified non-coding RNA, 1698 nt
Filed under: uncultured fungus
Lineage: Eukaryota; Fungi
Description: sequence contains 18S rRNA gene, ITS1, 5.8S rRNA gene, ITS2, 28S rRNA gene
Rfam family: Eukaryotic large subunit ribosomal RNA (bases 650-1698)
Source: RNAcentral